This 253-nucleotide ribosomal RNA is filed under the name uncultured bacterium. RNAcentral's name for it is "partial 16S ribosomal RNA". It matches the Rfam family "Bacterial small subunit ribosomal RNA", at positions 524 to 776 of the family's 1533-position model. The record is from RNAcentral.
UACAGAGGUCCCAAGCGUUGUUCGGAUUUACUGGGCGUAAAGGGUGCGUAGGUGGUCGGGUAAGUCUGACGUGAAAUCUCCGAGCCUAACUCGGAAACUGCGUCGGAUACUAUUCGGCUCGAGGGUUGGAGGGGGGACUGGAAUACUUGGUGUAGCAGUGAAAUGCGUAGAUAUCAAGUGGAACACCAGUGGCGAAGGCGAGUCCCUGGACAACUCCUGACACUGAGGCACGAAAGCUAGGGGAGCAAACGGG